GGGCCGGUAGCUCAGCCAGGCAGAGCGGCGGGCUUUUAACCCGUAGGUCCCGGGUUCAAAUCCCGGCCGGCCCGCCA
RNAcentral lists this transfer RNA (77 nucleotides) under Desulfurococcales archaeon. Its description in RNAcentral is "tRNA-Lys". It matches the Rfam family "tRNA". Rfam says of the family: Transfer RNA (tRNA) molecules are approximately 80 nucleotides in length. Their secondary structure includes four short double-helical elements and three loops (D, anti-codon, and T loops). Lineage: Archaea; Thermoproteati; Thermoproteota; Thermoprotei; Desulfurococcales. The record is from RNAcentral.